Molecule: ribosomal RNA, 253 nt
Filed under: uncultured bacterium
Lineage: Bacteria
Description: partial 16S ribosomal RNA
Rfam family: Bacterial small subunit ribosomal RNA
Source: RNAcentral
GACGAACCGUGCGAACGUUGUUCGGAUUCACUGGGCUUAAAGGGCGCGUAGGCGGGCCAUCAAGUCAGGGGUGAAAUCUUUCGGCUCAACCGGAAAAGUGCCUUUGAUACUGGUGGUCUCGAGGGAGGUAGGGGCAUGCGGAACUUCCGGUGGAGCGGUGAAAUGCGUAGAUAUCAGGAGGAACACCGGUGGCGAAGGCGGGUCUCUGGGCCGAUACUGACGCUGAGGAGCGAAAGCGUGGGGAGCGAACAGG